CCUACGGGAGGCAGCAGUGGGGAAUAUUGGACAAUGGGGGGAACCCUGAUGCAGCGACGCCGCGUGAGUGAAGAAGUAUUUCGGUAUGUAAACUUCUAUCAGCAGGGAAGAAAAUGACGGUACCUGACUAAGAAGCCCCGGCUAACUACGUGCCAGCAGCCGCGGUAAUACGUAGGGGGCAAGCGUUAUCCGGAUUUACUGGGUGUAAAGGGAGCGUAGGCGGUUUAGCAAGUCAGAAGUGAAAGCCCGGGGCUCAACUCCGGGACUGCUUUUGAAACUGUUGAACUAGAGUGCAGGAGAGGUAAGUGGAAUUCCUAGUGUAGCGGUGAAAUGCGUAGAUAUUAGGAGGAACACCAGUGGCGAAGGCGGCUUACUGGACUGUAAAUGACGCUGAGGCUCGAAAGCGUGGGGAGCAAACAGGAUUAGAUACCCGGGUAGUC
Molecule: ribosomal RNA, 440 nt
Filed under: uncultured bacterium
Lineage: Bacteria
Description: partial 16S ribosomal RNA
Rfam family: Bacterial small subunit ribosomal RNA
Source: RNAcentral